CGGAGGGGCUAGCGUUGUUCGGAAUUACUGGGCGUAAAGCGCACGUAGGCGGACCAGAAAGUUGGGGGUGAAAUCCCGGGGCUCAACCUCGGAACUGCCUUCAAAACUAUUGGUCUUGAGUUCGAGAGAGGUGAGUGGAAUUCCGAGUGUAGAGGUGAAAUUCGUAGAUAUUCGGAGGAACACCAGUGGCGAAGGCGGCUCACUGGCUCGAUACUGACGCUGAGGUGCGAAAGCGUGGGGAGCAAACAGGAUU
RNAcentral lists this ribosomal RNA (253 nucleotides) under uncultured bacterium. Its description in RNAcentral is "partial 16S ribosomal RNA". It matches the Rfam family "Bacterial small subunit ribosomal RNA", at positions 527 to 779 of the family's 1533-position model. The record is from RNAcentral.